GAUGAACGCUGGCGGCGUGCCUAAUACAUGCAAGUCGAGCGAACGGACGAGAAGCUUGCUUCUCUGAUGUUAGCGGCGGACGGGUGAGUAACACGUGGAUAACCUACCUAUAAGACUGGGAUAACUUCGGGAAACCGGAGCUAAUACCGGAUAAUAUUUUGCACCGCAUGGUUCAAAAGUGAAAGACGGUCUUGCUGUCACUUAUAGAUGGAUCCGCGCUGCAUUAGCUAGUUGGUAAGGUAACGGCUUACCAAGGCAACGAUGCAUAGCCGACCUGAGAGGGUGAUCGGCCACACUGGAACGUAGACACGGUCCAGACUCCUACGGGAGGCAGCAGUAGGGAAUCGUCCGCAGUGGGCGAAAGCCUGACGGAGCAACGGCGCGUGAGUGAUGAAGGUCUUCGGAUCGUAAAACUCUGUUAUUAGGGAAGAACAUAUGUGUAAGUAACUGUGCACAUCUUGACGGUACCUAAUCAGAAAGCCACGGCUAACUACGUG
RNAcentral lists this ribosomal RNA (497 nucleotides) under uncultured bacterium. Its description in RNAcentral is "partial 16S ribosomal RNA". It matches the Rfam family "Bacterial small subunit ribosomal RNA", at positions 28 to 507 of the family's 1533-position model. The record is from RNAcentral.